Molecule: long non-coding RNA, 238 nt
Organism: Spinacia oleracea (spinach)
Lineage: Eukaryota; Viridiplantae; Streptophyta; Magnoliopsida; Caryophyllales; Amaranthaceae
Exons: 3
Source: RefSeq, a predicted model, not a curated record
UAUUAACUCAUUAUGAAAUGAUGAAAGUAGAAUAUUUAGGCUUUUGCUUUGUAUUAUUUAAGUAGACCUUAUGACCUAAUUAUCUUCCUUUCAGGCCACAGAUUACUACGGAAAAGCUGUGCAGUUGAAUUGGAAUAGUCCCCAGGCGCUUAACAACUGGGGACUUGCACUGCAGGAACUCAGUGCGAUAGUCCCUGCUAAGGAAAAGCAUAACAUUGUUAAGACGACAAUUAGUAAG